This is a non-coding RNA of Collariella sp. IMI 366227, 106 nucleotides long. Lineage: Eukaryota; Fungi; Ascomycota; Sordariomycetes; Sordariales; Chaetomiaceae. The record is from the annotation of a GenBank genome assembly.
GGCAAGGUGGCCGAGUGGUUAAGGCGCUGGUUUUAGGCUAAGCCCAAUUGGGCCAAACUAAAGACACCAGUGGGAAACCGCGCGAGUUCGAAUCUCGUCCUUGUCA